Molecule: ribosomal RNA, 405 nt
Filed under: uncultured bacterium
Lineage: Bacteria
Description: partial 16S ribosomal RNA
Rfam family: Bacterial small subunit ribosomal RNA
Source: RNAcentral
AUUGAACGCUGGCGGCAUGCUUUACACAUGCAAGUCGGACGAGUGGCGAACGGGUGAGUAACGCGUAUCAACCUGCCCUUCAGAGGGGGACAACAGUUGGAAACGACUGCUAAUACCGCAUACUGAAGGAGGGGAUUGCGUCUGAUUAGCUAGUUGGCGGGGUAAAGGCCCACCAAGGCGACGAUCAGUAGCGGGUCUGAGAGGAUGAUCCGCCACACUGGGACUGAGACACGGCCCAGACUCCUACGGGAGGCAGCAGUGGGGAAUUUUGGACAAUGGGCGCAAGCCUGAUCCAGCCAUGCCGCGUGUCUGAAGAAGGCCUUCGGGUUGUAAAGGACUUUUGUCAGGGAAGCGGUACCUGAAGAAUAAGCACCGGCUAACUACGUGCCAGCAGCCGCGGUAAUA